RNAcentral lists this ribosomal RNA (492 nucleotides) under uncultured bacterium. RNAcentral's name for it is "bacterial SSU rRNA". It matches the Rfam family "Bacterial small subunit ribosomal RNA", at positions 28 to 512 of the family's 1533-position model. The record is from RNAcentral.
GAUGAACGCUAGCGAUAGGCCUAACACAUGCAAGUCGAGGGGCAGCACAUGAGUAGCAAUACGAUGGUGGCGACCGGCGCACGGGUGAGUAACACGUAUGCAACCUACCUCUAACAGGGGGAUAACCCGUUGAAAGACGGACUAAUACCCCAUAAUACAGGGGCUCCGCAUGGAGAUAUUUGUUAAAGAUUUUAUCGGUUAGAGAUGGGCAUGCGUUCCAUUAGCUAGUUGGUGAGGUAACGGCUCACCAAGGCGACGAUGGAUAGGGGAACUGAGAGGUUUAUCCCCCACACUGGAACUGAGACACGGUCCAGACUCCUACGGGAGCAGCAGUGAGGAAUAUUGGUCAAUGGAGGCAACUCUGAACCAGCCAAGUCGCGUGAAGGAUGAAGGUCUUAUGGAUUGUAAACUUCUUUUGCAGGGGAAUAAAUAGCGGUACGUGUACCGUUUUGCAUGUACCCUGCGAAUAAGGAUCGGCUAACUCGUGCCAGC